RNAcentral lists this ribosomal RNA (427 nucleotides) under uncultured bacterium. RNAcentral describes it as "partial 16S ribosomal RNA". It matches the Rfam family "Bacterial small subunit ribosomal RNA", at positions 354 to 796 of the family's 1533-position model. The record is from RNAcentral.
GUGGGGAAUAUUGCACAAUGGGCGAAAGCCUGAUGCAGCAACGCCGCGUGAGUGAUGAAGGCCUUUGGGUCGUAAAACUCUGUCCUUGGGGAAGAAAAAAAUGACGGUACCCUUGGAGGAAGCCCCGGCUAACUACGUGCCAGCAGCCGCGGUAAUACGUAGGGGGCAAGCGUUAUCCGGAAUUAUUGGGCGUAAAGAGUGCGUAGGUGGUUUUGUAAGCGUAGGGUGAAAGGCAGUAGCUCAACUAUUGUUAGCCCUGCGAACUGUGAGACUUGAGUGCAGGAGAGGAAAGUGGAAUUCCUAGUGUAGCGGUGAAAUGCGUAGAUAUUAGGAGGAACACCAGUGGCGAAGGCGACUUUCUGGACUGUAACUGACACUGAGGCACGAAAGCGUGGGUAGCAAACAGGAUUAGAUACCCUGGUAGUCC